UUGGGCAUAAUGCAGUCGAGCGGACAGAUGGGAGCUUGCUCCCUGAUGUUAGCGGCGGACGGGUGAGUAACACGUGGGUAACCUGCCUGUAAGACUGGGAUAACUCCGGGAAACCGGGGCUAAUACCGGAUGGUUGUUUGAACCGCAUGGUUCAAACAUAAAAGGUGGCUUCGGCUACCACUUACAGAUGGACCCGCGGCGCAUUAGCUAGUUGGUGAGGUAACGGCUCACCAAGGCAACGAUUCGUAGCCGACCUGAGAGGGUGAUCGGCCACACUGGGACUGAGACACGGCCCAGACUCCUACGGGAGGCAGCAGUAGGGAAUCUUCCGCAAUGGACGAAAGUCUGACGGAGCAACGCCGCGUGAGUGAUGAAGGUUUUCGGAUCGUAAAGCUCUGUUGUUAGGGAAGAACAAGUACCGUUCGAAUAGGGCGGUACCUUGACGGUACCUAACCAGAAAGCCACGGCUAACUACGUGCCAGCAGCCGCGGUAAUACGUAGGUGGCAAGCGUUGUCCGGAAUUAUUGGGCGUAAAGGGCUCGCAGGCGCUUUCUUAAGUCUGAUGUGAAAGCCCCCGGCUCAACCGGGGAGGGUCAUUGGAAACUGGGGAACUUGAGUGCAGAAGAGGAGAGUGGAAUUCCACGUGUAGCGGUGAAAUGCGUAGAGAUGUGGAGGAACACCAGUGGCGAAGGCGACUCUCUGGUCUGUAACUGACGCUGAGGAGCGAAAGCGUGGGGAGCGAACAGGAUUAGAUACCCUGGUAGUCCACGCCGUAAACGAUGAGUGCUAAGUGUUAGGGGGUUUUCGCCCCUUAGUGCUGCAGCUAACGCAUUAAGCACUCCGCCUGGGGAGUACGGUCGCAAGACUGAAACUCAAAGGAAUUGACGGGGGCCCGCACAAGCGGUGGAGCAUGUGGUUUAAUUCGAAGCAACGCGAAGAACCUUACCACCCGU
This 953-nucleotide ribosomal RNA is filed under the name Bacillus subtilis. Its description in RNAcentral is "bacterial SSU rRNA". It matches the Rfam family "Bacterial small subunit ribosomal RNA", at positions 42 to 981 of the family's 1533-position model. The record is from RNAcentral. Lineage: Bacteria; Bacillati; Bacillota; Bacilli; Caryophanales; Bacillaceae.